Penaeus chinensis is the source of this 418-nucleotide long non-coding RNA. RefSeq lists it as uncharacterized. The transcript has 3 exons. The record is from RefSeq and is a predicted model, not a curated record. Lineage: Eukaryota; Metazoa; Arthropoda; Malacostraca; Decapoda; Penaeidae.
CCCGCCCGCCCUGUGACGCUGACGGUGACCCUGACGCUGCAAAUUCUGCGCGAAUUCUACGGGGGCAAGCGCCUUUGCUGAUGGAAUUGAUGGUCGUGCUGUUUUGGCAGGAGAAAAUUUGUUUCUAGCAGAUCACGUGGGUGGAUCACGAGCAGAACAAACCACCGACCGAAAAUAAAACCCUGCGACCUGCUCCAGCUAGAGCACCAACGGGAGUGGAGGUGCUGAACAAAAGCCACUACCCACUCGAAAGAAUAGAGCAGGUCAACAAAGAUCAUUGAUUUCGAGCUUAAGUAGAGCUGGCAUUUGCUGACCUGCAACAAGAUAGUGCCUCAUAUGUAUUACCAUGGACAUUUCAUGUGAGAAACUUUAUGUAUAUUACUUAAAAUAUAUGAUCUUGUAUUGAUAAUAGUCUACA